Molecule: ribosomal RNA, 254 nt
Filed under: uncultured bacterium
Lineage: Bacteria
Description: partial 16S ribosomal RNA
Rfam family: Bacterial small subunit ribosomal RNA
Source: RNAcentral
UACGGGGGGAGCAAGCGUUGUUCGGAUUUACUGGGCGUAAAGGGCGCGUAGGCGGCCACCGCAAGUCGACUGUGAAAUCUCCGGGCUUAACCCGGAAAGGUCAGCCGAUACUGCGGGGCUAGAGUGCAGAAGGGGCAACUGGAAUUCUCGGUGUAGCGGUGAAAUGCGUAGAUAUCAGGAGGAAUACCGAUGGCGAAGGCAGGUCUCUGGGCUGACACUGACGCUCAUGCACGAAAGCGUGGGGAGCAAACAGG